RNAcentral lists this ribosomal RNA (459 nucleotides) under uncultured bacterium. Its description in RNAcentral is "SSU rRNA". It matches the Rfam family "Bacterial small subunit ribosomal RNA", at positions 26 to 522 of the family's 1533-position model. The record is from RNAcentral.
AGGAUGAACGCUGGCGGCGUGCCUAAUACAUGCAAGUCGAGCGGUAAGGCCACUUCGGUGGUACACGAGCGGCGGACGGCUGAGUAACACGUAGGAACGUACCCCAAACUGAGGCAUAAGCACCAGAAAUGGUGUCUAAUACCGCAUGUGCUCUUCGGAGUAAAGCUACGGCGGUUUGGGAACGGCCUGCGCAUGAUUAGCUUGUUGGUGAGGUAAAAGCUCACCAAGGCGACGAUCAUUAGCUGGUCUGAGAGGAUGACCAGCCAGACUGGGACUGAGAACGGCCCAGACUCCUACGGGAGGCAGCAGUAGGGAAUUUUCCACAAUGGGCGAAAGCCUGAUGGAGCAACGCCGCGUGCAGGACGAAGGCCUUCGGGUCGUAAACUGCUUUUAUCUGUGACGAUUAUGACGGUAGCAGAUGAAUAAGGAUCGGCUAACUCCGCGCCAGCAGCCGCGUAA